RNAcentral lists this ribosomal RNA (433 nucleotides) under uncultured bacterium. RNAcentral describes it as "partial 16S ribosomal RNA". It matches the Rfam family "Bacterial small subunit ribosomal RNA", at positions 29 to 507 of the family's 1533-position model. The record is from RNAcentral.
AACGAACGCUGGCGGCAUGCCUAACACAUGCAAGUCGAACGAGACCUUCGGGUCUAGUGGCGCACGGGUGCGUAACGCGUGGGUAUCUGCCCUUGGGUUCGGAAUAACAGUUGGAAACGACUGCUAAUACCGGAUGAUGACGUAAGUCCAAAGAUUUAUCGCCCAAGGAUGAGCCCGCGUAGGAUUAGCUAGUUGGUGAGGUAAAGGCUCACCAAGGCGACGAUCCUUAGCUGGUCUGAGAGGAUGAUCAGCCACACUGGGACUGAGACACGGCCCAGACUCCUACGGGAGGCAGCAGUGGGGAAUAUUGGACAAUGGGCGAAAGCCUGAUCCAGCAAUGCCGCGUGAGUGAUGAAGGCCUUAGGGUUGUAAAGCUCUUUUACCCGGGAUGAUAAUGACAGUACCGGGAGAAUAAGCUCCGGCUAACUCCGUG